Molecule: ribosomal RNA, 409 nt
Filed under: uncultured bacterium
Lineage: Bacteria
Description: bacterial SSU rRNA
Rfam family: Bacterial small subunit ribosomal RNA
Source: RNAcentral
UGGGGAAUAUUGCGCAAUGGGCGAAAGCCUGACGCAGCGACGCCGCGUGGGUGAAGAAGGCCUUCGGGUUGUAAAGCCCUGUCAGGGGGGACGAAGGGAAACUGACGGUACCCCCGGAGGAAGCCCCGGCAAACUACGUGCCAGCAGCCGCGGUAAAACGUAGGGGGCGAGCGUUGUCCGGAAUCAUUGGGCGUAAAGAGCACGUAGGCGGCCUGUUAAGUCGGAUGUGAAAACCCGCGGCUCAACCGCGGGACUGCAUUCGAAACUGGCAGGCUAGAGUCCAGUAGAGGAAAGUGGAAUUCCAAGUGUAGCGGUGAAAUGCGCAGAUAUUUGGAAGAACACCGGUGGCGAAGGCGGCUUUCUGGGCUGAGACUGACGCUGAGGUGCGAAAGCUAGGGGAGCGAACAGG